GGCUACGGCAUACAACCCUGAACACCCCGAUCUCGUCCGAUCCCGGAAGCUAAGCAGGGUCGGGCCUGGUUAGUACUUGGAUGGGAGACCCGCCUGGGAAAUACCAGGUGCUGUAAGCU
RNAcentral lists this ribosomal RNA (119 nucleotides) under Larimichthys crocea (large yellow croaker). The record is from RNAcentral. Lineage: Eukaryota; Metazoa; Chordata; Actinopteri; Sciaenidae.